Molecule: ribosomal RNA, 471 nt
Filed under: uncultured bacterium
Lineage: Bacteria
Description: bacterial SSU rRNA
Rfam family: Bacterial small subunit ribosomal RNA
Source: RNAcentral
CUACGCACUCCUACGGGAGGCAGCAAUGGGGAAUAUUGCACAAUGGGCGCAAGCCUGAUGCAGCCAUGCCGCGUGUAUGAAGAAGGCCUUCGGGUUGUAAAGUACUUUCAGCAGUGAGGAAGGUGGGUAUGUUAAUAGCAUACUCAUUUGACGUUAGCUGCAGAAGAAGCACCGGCUAACUCCGUGCCAGCAGCCGCGGUAAUACGGAGGGUGCGAGCGUUAAUCGGAAUUACUGGGCGUAAAGCGCAUGCAGGUGGUUUGUUAAGUCAGAUGUGAAAGCCCGGGGCUCAACCUCGGAAUUGCAUUUGAAACUGGCAAACUAGAGUACUGUAGAGGGGGUAGAAUUUCAGGUGUAGCGGUGAAAUGCGUAGAGAUCUGAAGGAAUACCGGUGGCGAAGGCGGCCCCCUGGACAGAUACUGACACUCAGAUGCGAAAGCGUGGGGAGCAAACAGGAUUAGAUACCCUGGUAG